CGUGAGCGGCGGACGGGUGAGUAACGCGUGGGUAACCGUGCCUCAUACAGGGGAGUAACAGUUGGAAACGGCUGCUAAUACCGCAUAAGCGCACAGUACCGCAUGGUACGGUGUGAAAAACUCCGGUGGUAUGAGAUGGACCCGCGUCUGAUUAGGUAGUUGGUGGGGUAACGGCCUACCAAGCCGACGAUCAGUAGCCGACCUGAGAGGGUGACCGGCCACAUUGGGACUGAGACACGGCCCAA
RNAcentral lists this ribosomal RNA (245 nucleotides) under uncultured bacterium. RNAcentral's name for it is "partial 16S ribosomal RNA". It matches the Rfam family "Bacterial small subunit ribosomal RNA", at positions 90 to 334 of the family's 1533-position model. The record is from RNAcentral.